RNAcentral lists this ribosomal RNA (253 nucleotides) under uncultured bacterium. RNAcentral's name for it is "partial 16S ribosomal RNA". It matches the Rfam family "Bacterial small subunit ribosomal RNA", at positions 524 to 776 of the family's 1533-position model. The record is from RNAcentral.
UACAGAGGUCUCAAGCGUUGUUCGGAUUCCUUGGGCGUAAAGGGCGCGUAGGCUGCGGGGUAAGUCGGGUGUGAAAUCUCAGAGCUCAACUCUGAAACUGCACUCGAUACUGCUUUGCUUGAGGACUGGAGAGGAGAUUGGAAUUCACGGUGUAGCAGUGAAAUGCGUAGAUAUCGUGAGGAAGACCAGUGGCGAAGGCGGAUCUCUGGACAGUUCCUGACGCUGAGGCGCGAAGGCCAGGGGAGCAAACGGG